Long non-coding RNA from Lathyrus oleraceus (garden pea), 902 nucleotides. RefSeq lists it as uncharacterized. Lineage: Eukaryota; Viridiplantae; Streptophyta; Magnoliopsida; Fabales; Fabaceae. The record is from RefSeq and is a predicted model, not a curated record. The transcript has 2 exons.
UUAGGGCGUGUAGACUAUAAAGCCCUUUGGGCUUGUGCAUGGUGAAGCCCAACGCGUGGGCCAAAAGUUGGUGAGUGUCCAUAUUCUUUGCUCAUUUUAGUUUCACUCUCAGACACGUUUCUCUUCCUCUCUUAGCUACUUCUUGGAUGGAAAUCGCUCUGCCACGGUGGGGCAACCCAAAACCAUACGAAAUUACCACUAAUGGAAACCUCUCGUCCUCUUCUCUCUAUUUCCCACUUCCAAACAAACCAAACAAACCACAAGAAAAACCCCAUGAACCCUAAUUCAUUCAAAAUAAAAUUAAACACAGUGGGAGGGGAAUCAAAGCAUGAAACCUUGGGCCUUUAAUUCCCCUCAACCUAAUCUACAUGAUGGUAACACGUUUGAGGUAAAGAAGUGAAGAUUUUUAAAAGAACCUACCUACAGGACGGAGGCUUAUCCGGGAAAUUGUUGAAGGUCUUGAAGAAGACGAUGCUUAGAGAAUACUAGAGGUUUUUUGUAGGGUUACUACAAUCUUGAUGUCGUGAGCCUUAGGCUUUGGACAUAGCAUUUCAACAUGGCAGAGGCUUGGCAUGGCAUCAUGAAGGUAUUUUGCAAGGCAUGAUCAAGAUUUAGUAUAAAGAAGGAUGCUUAGUAUGAACAUGAAAGUAUUUUAGAAUACACUUGAAGUACUUAAAGGACCACAUGAAUAAUUAAGAGAAAAAUAGACUUAGAGUAGGUUUAUGACUAGUUUGGCUUUUGGUCAACUGUUUGACAAAAAGUCAAAAGUUGACCAAAAGUCAACCUUAGGUCAAAAAGUUUUUUUUAUAACCUUGUAAUCUUUGGUCGGUGUGUAAUAAAAUUCUUUGGAUUUUGUAAUUGAAUAUUGGCCAUUUGAAUGUGAUUUGUAACUUUUUUCACAA